CCUACGGGCGGCAGCAGUGAGGAAUAUUGGUCAAUGGCGGAAGCCUGAACCAGCCAAGUAGCGUGCAGGAUGACGGCCCUACGGGUUGUAAACUGCUUUUAUACGGGAAUAACGCGCCUUACGUGUAGGGCUUUGCAUGUACCGUAUGAAUAAGGACCGGCUAAUUCCGUGCCAGCAGCCGCGGUAAUACGGAAGGUCCGGGCGUUAUCCGGAUUUAUUGGGGUUAAAGGGAGCGUAGGCCGCAUGUCAAGCGUGCUGUGAAAUGUCCGGGCUCAACCCGGGCCUUGCAGCGCGAACUGGCGUGCUUGAGUCCGCGGAAAGCAGGCGGAAUUCGUCGUGUAGCGGUGAAAUGCUUAGAUAUGACGAAGAACCCCGAUUGCGAAGGCAGCUUGCUGCAGCGGAACUGACGCUGAUGCUCGAAAGCGCGGGUAUCGAACAGGAUUAGAUACCCCAGUAGUC
RNAcentral lists this ribosomal RNA (459 nucleotides) under uncultured bacterium. RNAcentral describes it as "partial 16S ribosomal RNA". It matches the Rfam family "Bacterial small subunit ribosomal RNA", at positions 338 to 795 of the family's 1533-position model. The record is from RNAcentral.